RNAcentral lists this ribosomal RNA (253 nucleotides) under uncultured bacterium. RNAcentral describes it as "partial 16S ribosomal RNA". It matches the Rfam family "Bacterial small subunit ribosomal RNA", at positions 524 to 776 of the family's 1533-position model. The record is from RNAcentral.
UACGUAGGGUGCAAGCGUUGUCCGGAAUUAUUGGGCGUAAAGAGCUCGUAGGCGGUCUGUCGCGUCUGCUGUGAAAACUCAGGGCUUAACCCUGAGCCUGCUUCCGAUACGGGCAGACUAGAGGUAUGCAGGGGAGAACGGAAUUCCCGGUGUAGUGGUGAAAUGCGUAGAUAUCGGGAGGAACACCAGUGGCGAAGGCGACUUCCUGGCCUGUUCUUGACGCUGAGGCGCGAAAGCUAGGGUAGCAAACGGG